This 446-nucleotide ribosomal RNA is filed under the name uncultured bacterium. RNAcentral's name for it is "partial 16S ribosomal RNA". It matches the Rfam family "Bacterial small subunit ribosomal RNA", at positions 338 to 795 of the family's 1533-position model. The record is from RNAcentral.
CCUACGGGAGGCAGCAGUCGAGAAUCAUUCACAAUGGGGGAAACCCUGAUGGUGCGACGCCGCGUGGGGGAAUGAAGGUCUUCGGAUUGUAAACCCCUGUCAUGUGGGAGCAAAUUAAAAAGAUAGUACCACAAGAGGAAGAGACGGCUAACUCUGUGCCAGCAGCCGCGGUAAUACAGAGGUCUCAAGCGUUGUUCGGAAUCACUGGGCGGAAAGCGUGCGUAGGCUGUUUCGUAAGUCGUGUGUGAAAGGCGCGGGCUCAACCCGCGGACGGCACAUGAGAGUGCGAGACUAGAGUAAUGGAGGGGGAACCGGAAUUCUCGGUGUAGCAGUGAAAUGCGUAGAUAUCGAGAGGAACACUCGUGGCGAAGGCGGGUUCCUGGACAUUAACUGACGCUGAGGCACGAAGGCCAGGGGAGCGAAAGGGAUUAGAUACCCCGGUAGUC